GUUUCCAUCCCCGUGAGGGGUAAUGAAUUGAAAAC
Molecule: non-coding RNA, 35 nt
Organism: Nostoc sp. PCC 7107
Lineage: Bacteria; Bacillati; Cyanobacteriota; Cyanophyceae; Nostocales; Nostocaceae
Source: Rfam